GCAAGCUCUACGUCUUGGGGGCCGCAUGGUGCCGAGAGCGCAAACCAGACCCGCCCCGCCCCUCCGUGCCACGCACGCGCUCGGCUCCGCGCUUAAUGAAGCAGUAUCUGACUGUGUUGCCCAGGCUGGUCUUGAACUCCUGGUCUCAAAUGAUUCUCCUGCUUUGGCCUCCUAAAGUGCUGGGAUUACAGAGUGUCAGGCCUCUGAGCCCAAGCUAAGCCAUCAUAUCCCCUGUGACCUGCAUGUAUGCAUCCAGGUGGCCUGAAGUAACUGAAGAAUCACAAAAGAGGUGAAAAUGGCCUGUUCCUGCCUUAACUGAUGACAUUACCUUGUGAAAUUCCUUCUCUUGGCUCAUCCUGGCUCAAAAACUCCCCCACUGAGCACCUUGUGACCCCCGCCCCUGCCUACCAGAGAACCCCCUUUGACUGUAAU
This 432-nucleotide long non-coding RNA is filed under the name Pan troglodytes (chimpanzee). RNAcentral's name for it is "lincRNA". Lineage: Eukaryota; Metazoa; Chordata; Mammalia; Primates; Hominidae. The record is from RNAcentral.